RNAcentral lists this ribosomal RNA (254 nucleotides) under uncultured bacterium. RNAcentral's name for it is "partial 16S ribosomal RNA". It matches the Rfam family "Bacterial small subunit ribosomal RNA", at positions 524 to 776 of the family's 1533-position model. The record is from RNAcentral.
CACGUAGGGGCCAAGCGUUGUCCGGAUUUAUUGGGCGUAAAGAGCUCGUAGGCGGUUCGACAAGUCGGGUGUGAAAACUCCGGGCUCAACCCGGAGACGCCACCCGAUACUGUCGUGACUGGAGUCCGGUAGGGGAGUGGGGAAUUCCUGGUGUAGCGGUGAAAUGCACAGAUAUCAGGAGGAACACCGGUGGCGAAGGCGCCACUCUGGGCCGGUACUGACGCUGAGGAGCGAAAGCGUGGGUAGCAAACAGG